CAGCCGUAAACAAUGUGCGUUAGGUGUGUCGGUAACCACGGUGCGACCGUUGUCGGUGCCGUAGGGAAGCCGUGAAGCGAGCCACCUGGGAAGUACGGCCGCAAGGCUGAAACUUAAAGGAAUUGGCGGGGGAGCACCACAACGGGUGGAGCUUGCGGUUUAAUUGGAUUCAACGCCGGAAAUCUUACCGGGACCGACAGCAACAUGAAGGCCAGGCUGAAGACUUUGCCGGAUUAGCUGAGAGGAGGUGCAUGGCGUAGUCGUGU
RNAcentral lists this ribosomal RNA (266 nucleotides) under uncultured archaeon. Its description in RNAcentral is "partial 16S ribosomal RNA". It matches the Rfam family "Archaeal small subunit ribosomal RNA", at positions 748 to 1009 of the family's 1478-position model. The record is from RNAcentral.